CUUUUUUUUUCUUUUUUUGGAUCAAGGGAUACUGAGUUGAGAUACUGAACUAAGUUAAUCUAAUCUAACCUUAAGCAUGUAACUUAGUCAUCUCAAGAGGACAUAUAUUUGCCCUCAGUUUUCACUCUGGUAGUGAAAAGGCAUAUUAUAGCAGGUUAUUCUGAUGUUAGGACAGCAUGCCCUCUAGAAGUGCCUACAUUCUUACACUGAGUAUGAAGAGAACCUUUUAUAAAUACCUUUUAAUUUAAACAUGCCAGUUAUGUGCUUGCAGAGAAAAGUAUUUUUUGUGAGAUUGCUGGUUGUUUUGCUUUUAACCGAGCUGAAGGUCUACAUUUUUCCUAAUAUUUCACUGGUCACAUCAUCCUAGUCUAUCAAUCAAUAAUUCUAAAAGAAUCUAGGAUGGUUUGAAAGCUUAAAAAAAAAAAGUUACAUGCAUGAAAUAGGAAGUAUAUCAAGCAGUUUAUUGGUCCAAAUUGAUAAUCUCUUUUAGUUCUUUCCUGAGUUAGCACAACCAAAUAUAAUAACUCUCCAAAUGCACUAAGGGAAAAGCCAGCGACCUGUUAAGUGGUUCAGUUUCAUGUUUUUCCUCUGUUUGGAUUGUUUGGGUUUUUUCCUUUACAUGUAAGUAUCACUUUAAAAAAAGUCAAUUCUUUCAUAGACUGGCAUAUGACUUGCUGAGAGAGCUCAGUUCCUUCUGAUGGUUAAAUGGGUUCAUAAAAGUGUCAGGAAAGCCUAAUGCAUAGUGACCAAAUUUGUAUAUGUGCUGAAUGUAUAUUUCUACACUUUUCAAUGAUGUGAAGGCUAAAUGCAGACCAGUCAAAAACAUUCCAUAUUCAGUUUCGGGUUUUUUAAAUGAAUAUUAACAUCCUAAGUCAAAGCUAGGUGUACAUGUGUCAAAACCAACUCUGUUUCUCAGAUGUUUUCACCUACAGAAAUACUGUUCUCUGCAUACAAGUCAGAGUAAAUGAAUAGCAAAAAUCACUGAGUUGAGCAAAUGGUGCUUUUGAAAUUGUCAACUCACGAUUAUUGUCUUUGGAAUAUCAGUCAUACUUUCUAAGGUUUUUUUAUUAUACUUUAGACUGCAAUUAUUAUUACUCACUAUCAUCUCAGUAAACUUCUGAAGAGAUUCUUCCUUCUAUCCAGUGCACGUUGCCACCCCUGUCUAAACAGGUCUGUGUCUAUCAGUCAAGUCCUAGAGCCUGGUUUUGGUUAGUUACAGUGCUAUGUGUGGCUCAGCAAAAAGAAUAGUACUUUAUUUGUUGCCAGUUUUACAGAGUAAAUUAAUCACAUCGCUGCUUUUAGCCCUACAGUGCCAGCAGCCAAAGACUGAUCUCAGGUUUGCUGUUCUGCAUCCUGUGUCAUACUGUCAAUACCUGGAUUUCCUAUGGAUGUGUGUCUACCAAAGCUCAAUGCCACUUGAUCUCAGAUAUGCCCUGAUAUCAAGUGAGUCACUCCAAGGAAAAGCUAUGGCACACAAUCUGCAGUUUGUAUGAAAGCUGCCUGUCAUAUCAGAAAAUAUAUUGGACUUUGGAAGCUUUAAAUCCUUCUGAAUAUGAGUGAAGGACAGUUGAAGGGCAGUAGGUGCUGUCAGAAACAGAGCUGGUUUGUGAUGUAAAUAGAAUUAUUUUUUUAACAUAAACUGUAAUGCUGCGGGGGUUUUUGGUUACACAUUUUCAGUGAUUUCCCAUUUUACCAUAAAACAUAGAUUUAUGGUAAUUCCUGGUCUUAAGUAUUAUUUGUAAAAUCUUUUUAACAAAUAUUUUUAAUAUAUAUUUUUCCUUUCAUAUUGAAUUAUGGAGCACUGUUCCUUUUAUGUCUUAUUUCUAAAAUAAAUUUUGUUUGAAGAU
Molecule: long non-coding RNA, 1847 nt
Organism: Strigops habroptila (Kakapo)
Lineage: Eukaryota; Metazoa; Chordata; Aves; Psittaciformes; Psittacidae
Source: Ensembl